RNAcentral lists this long non-coding RNA (402 nucleotides) under Mytilus galloprovincialis (Mediterranean mussel). Lineage: Eukaryota; Metazoa; Mollusca; Bivalvia; Mytilida; Mytilidae. The record is from RNAcentral.
CUGUGGUAGUAAAUCCUGGUAAAUUAACGAUCAAGCAACAGUAACUUAAAUAAGUAAAUUCAAGAUUUCUUUCGAUACAAUUUCGAGAGAAAGUUAACUGCUAAAUACAUUCUAUACACGGCUAAAUCAACGGAAAACAGGUAAUUUCCCCCAAUCCGCCACCCCCCUUCCACCCCCAUGUUGCACCGAUUACGUACUAGAUUUUCCUUUCCUUGUUUCUCGUUUUUGACCUAGUACCAGGAUGUUCUUCCACAAAGUAGGUAACAUGUUGAAAAAUUGUAAAAAAGUGAAAUAUCUGUACUUUGAAAAUUGACAAUUGAAAAAUUAGUUCCGAUGUUGUAGCAUACUAGUACUACACUUGUAUUGAAUAAUUAUUUCUAUGAAGCUUGAUUUAAUAUUUUG